Molecule: long non-coding RNA, 778 nt
Organism: Nannospalax galili (Upper Galilee mountains blind mole rat)
Lineage: Eukaryota; Metazoa; Chordata; Mammalia; Rodentia; Spalacidae
Exons: 3
Source: RefSeq, a predicted model, not a curated record
CCUUGCCUCCAUCUGAUCAGGAACUGGACGAGAAAGGCAGAAAAAAAAAAAUUAAAGGGUACACCUGUCUGCAUUGAGAAGCUUCCCCGUGUCCGUCUCCUUCAAAGUGUGGUCGGCCUGAACCAGCACUAUAGCAUCACCCGGGAGCUAAGAUCUAUUUCUGUCCUUCCAGGAGUUCCCUUGAAGGCCGGUUGCCGGCUGGAGGUCAAUCUCCGAGGAUGCAGAGCAGUCAGAACUCGUCCAGGAGUGAAAGCCCCCGGCUAGAGCGCGUUAAAAGGGCUAAUUUUUACUAGCCCACGCCUCUGCGGCGUUUCCUCUUCGCGCUCAAUCUCCGCACCCCUCUCGCUCCACUGCAGCGGUCUCGCGAGAUUUCUCGACGAUUUACAGAACCGGAAGUUGCUUUCAGUUCUCUUCCGUUUUGCGAACAUCGGUGAAGUGGCACCCGGUGAGACUGUGGUGAGGGAAUCAGGGGUCAUCCGCAGCCAUCCAUAUCGGGGCUGCAUGGCUUUCUGUCUCCGGGGUCUCGAGAUUAUUUUACUGAUCGGACAUUAGCCGGGGAGUGAUGCCGCGAUGGGCUCAGCCCGCUGCCUUCGUCGCCAGGGGCCGCAGGGCUGGAGAGGGGAGAACUGCUUACGGGACUAGAAAACCCUGGCGGGAGGGAUGACUGUUUCAGUAAAGACUGAACAUUGUAGUCGCCUAAACAGUAGCUUCGAAACAGUUGUGCAUGCCAAAAUGAAGUUCAAUCCCUUUGUGACUUCUGACCGAAGCAAGAACCGGU